CAGAAAGUCAGGGGCCCAUGUCAUUCUGCUCUGGGUUCAGACGUGCACUGCAGCAGCACCGGGACUUGACAGCCCUACGGCUCGAUCAGCUUUCUGUUUUCAUUGCCUUACGAUGCCAUGAGUGGAACUAUUGUCAAAUCAGAGUUCACUCCCCAGCUUUUCAGUCUUUCCCCUAAUUCUUGCUCUAUCAGAGGUCGAGGACAACAGUAUAAUGAUUCAUAGGUUCUACUUCCUGGCAAGUAAUCAUUUUCCCACGGGCCCUUGUGAAUUGAUGAAUAUGAAGACACUAAGAAAGCAGAAAUAGAACUGAGAAGAAUGAAAUAACUGUCUCUACCUUUCUCGAAUUGUCUAAUAUGGAAAGAAUGAAAGACAGCUAAUAAGCAACUCUCUGCAAGAAGACAUAUGGCUUAGGUUCUGCUGAGCUAUUGGUGAUUUGAUUCCAUGCAUAUGUAUUCACUACUGAAUCUACUUGGAGAGAGUCAAACACAGAAUCCCUUUGAAUUUAAUGGCCAUUCCAGGUGAUUUGAACAGCCAAAUAAGAAACAGGUCCUCUUCAAUGUACAAUCUGCCAAGUAUGAAGUCUGAAUGACCAUCAUUAUUAUGUAUUUAAUGUGCAUAGAAAAUCUAUCUGCAACCUUCCAGAGUGUACCAGAAGUUUGGAAUGUACAUUAUUAUUGGCUCCAUCUCAAACCACUCAUAAAUCAAAGAAAAUAGCAGUUCCAGAGGAAUCAUCAUAGAGGCUUCUAGGCCCCCAUGCUGUGUGAACCUGGUGAGAAAGGGAAGUCUGCUCUCACUGGACACUGGAACUGUUUGUCUCUGUCUCUGCUGUACUUUCCCUGCCUCUACCUCACUUAGUAAAGAAAUCAUCUUUGCUUGAUAACUAAAACAACCAAUAAGGCUGAGAAAGGGGAAAACCCACAUCUGGAUUUAAAUACAAGGUAUUGGGCCAGCUGCUGGGGAUUAAACUUUGAACAAAACAGAUAGAAUCUAUGUCCUCAUGGGAGUGGCUAAUGGGAGAGUCGGAACAAAAAAAUAGCCAAGGAUAAUCCAGCAAAUGAUUUGGUGAAUGCUAUCAAAGAGAGAAAUACACAUGCUCUGGGAACACCAAGAAUAAACGAGAGAAAGGGACAUUAAUAUAUAUUGAAUAUCUGCUGUGUCAGGCACCUUACAUAUAUUGAUUGCUUCUUCACUUCUUUUAAUCUUUACUACACCACAUGAGGCUGUCAUAGAGAUUCUGAGG
This 1240-nucleotide long non-coding RNA is filed under the name Homo sapiens (human). RNAcentral's name for it is "HSALNT0111920". Lineage: Eukaryota; Metazoa; Chordata; Mammalia; Primates; Hominidae. The record is from RNAcentral.